CUCCCAAGAAGGAGGUGGGAGGGCAGGGGGCAGAGCCCAUCUUCAUUUUUUGUCCACUCCAACCUUGCUACGCUCCUGCUGAUUCAAUUCUGUUAUCUUUGCAGGAGAACUCAUUGUUGUGCAGGCAAAGAGGGAGAAGACAGAGGUCAGGGAAACUGUGGAAAGAUUGUCCAGGAGGCAGGAUGACUAAGUAAUGGUGGGCUCAGAAGAAAGUGGACUGAAGGAAGUCCUUCACGAUGAAGCAAAUGAGAAAAAAGCUGGUAUCUAGACAACUUUUCAAGGACUAUUUUGAUUACACCCUGGAAUAUUUGAAUAUGCCUAUCUAAGUUUUACUUUUUAAAAGCUUGAAAUAAGGAGUAAAGCUUAUUAUUCAUCUAUAUAUGGGAGACCCACGAAGCUUUCUAUGAAACUAACACUCCGUUUGGAGUGAUUUUUACUGAAGGAAUUUAUUUCAUUGGGUCCAUGCAAAAAGUUCAGCUUCUCCUUCUACAUCAUUGCAUUUUCUAGAGUUCAUCUUUAUCUAUUCAUGGCAUAUUUGUGAUAGGCUUCACUGCUUUCAACUCUCCUCCAACAUCGGAAGGAUUUUUCCACCUAAUUAUGGACUUUUAUUCUUUGGACACUGGAAUACUCAUCAAUACUUAUGUAUAGCUUCUAUAUGGUUUUUGGAUUAUAUUGUUUAUACUCAUAUAUACUUUUGUUUAUAUUUAAUUAUCUUGCAAUUUAUGUUUCUUAUAUUAAGUAUAUUGAUAAUCCAAAUUAUUCUUUGUGACUUUAAACUUAUAAAAUCCAUUUUGAGCAAGGUUAAUAUGUUUUAGUAUUAACUACUCUACACUAACUACUCUAAAACGAAAAUAAUCCGAUUUAGUUCUAAACCUAAGAAUUUUAGAUGGGUAAUAAAAGGUCAGCAGAUAGAACAGACCCAAUAUAAAUAUCUGGGUGUGACAUUCCGUUACAAUAGCUCAUCUACACAUGUUAAGAUGACUGCCAAUACUGCUUCCUCGUCUGUUGUUCUGAGAUUUUUUUCUGCACACAGGGAGAUUAUCACAUACCAGCUGCCAUUAAAUUAUUUGAGUACAACCAAUUGCUCAAAUGUUGUAUGGGGCUCAGCUUGGCCCGUUUAAAGAUUGUUUGCUUCUUGAAAGGAUGCAAAUGUCAUUCUUAAGAUAUUUAUCUGGUGUAUCUAGAAGUACACCCAACUCAGUGAUUUGUCAGGAAGCAGGCCUAAUUAAAAUUGAAGCAAGGUUGUCAGCUAUUAAUUAUUGGCUUAAAAUUCACCGCAAUCCAUUGGGACUGAUAAUUAAGUACCUAUUGAUUGAUCCACACCCCAGAUGGAUUCUUACCAUUUUGGAGAAACUUACCUCCAUGGGUUUAAAUCCGCCUGCUCUACUAGAGUUAGGAUUAAUUGGUGCAAAGAAGGCAGUACGGAGAAGAUUUGAAGAUAUUGAACUGCAAUCUGAAAAGGCUCUUUUGCCUAACUAUUAUUCACCAUUAAAAACGAGAGAAGGGUUUGCCCCAGCUUGUUAUUUUUACUCUAUAUCUGUUAAUACAUAUAUGUGGGCUUUUUCGAGAGCUCACUUUAAUGCGAUUCCUUCAGCUCUUGUAGAAGGAAGAUAUCAGCACCUUCCUUUACAAGAUAGAAAAUGUCCCUCCGGUGACAUAGAAACUAGAGCACAUAUUUUGCUCCACUGCAAGCUCUAUCAUGAGGUUAGACAACGAUUGAUCUCCCCGUU
Hemicordylus capensis (graceful crag lizard) is the source of this 1730-nucleotide long non-coding RNA. RefSeq lists it as uncharacterized. NCBI's taxonomy places the organism in Eukaryota, Metazoa, Chordata, Lepidosauria, Squamata, Cordylidae. The record is from RefSeq and is a predicted model, not a curated record. The transcript has 3 exons.